Molecule: ribosomal RNA, 253 nt
Filed under: uncultured prokaryote
Description: partial 16S ribosomal RNA
Rfam family: Bacterial small subunit ribosomal RNA
Source: RNAcentral
ACAGAGGGGGCCAGCGUUAUUCGGAAUUAUUGGGCGUAAAGGGCGCGUAGGCGGCCAUGCGUGUCUUCCGUGAAAUCCCUCGGCUUAACCGAGGACGUGCGGAAGAAACUGCAAGGCUCGAGUCCGGAAGAGGGGGGCGGAAUUCCCAGUGUAGCGGUGAAAUGCGUAGAGAUCGGGAGGAACAUCUGUGGCGAAGGCGACUGCCUGGACCAGCACUGACACUGAGGCACGAAAGCGUGGGGAGCAAACAGGA